Molecule: long non-coding RNA, 3725 nt
Organism: Solanum pennellii
Lineage: Eukaryota; Viridiplantae; Streptophyta; Magnoliopsida; Solanales; Solanaceae
Exons: 8
Source: RefSeq, a predicted model, not a curated record
UCAUAAAAAAUACUAAGACAAAACACUUUCUCUUUCCAGUUCACUGAAGAACGCUAAACUAGCUAAAGAGAGAGCUGAAGAACACCUAUGGAACUGAAGAACUGAUCGAGCUGAAGAACUGAUUCCCUUCAACCACACAAAUUUCUCUACUCAAAUAACUAAGGUUCGUCAAGGAAGGAAUUGAUUGGGGGUUGUUGGCAAGAUGAACUGAAGCUAAGUCUCUCCAUCACACUUUUCUUUCAAAUUUCUCGUUGAAGAACUUAAUUUUUGAAAAUUUUAUGGCUGAAUAGCUGAAGAUAUCUUGCUGUAGAAUACGAUAUCCAUAAUAAUUCUUGCUGAAGAGCACGAUUUGUCGGAAUAGGGUUUAACAUCUAAGAAUUCUGUCUUUGAAAGUCUAAAUUUUAGCUUUAAGGUUUUGAUAUUCUUGUGUUUUUUAUACAAUUUUUGGGAGUCUAGAUCAGCUUUUUAGCUUUAUUAGUUGAUUUUUGGGUGCCCUGAGCCUUAAUAACGAAAUAAGUAUAAAUUGGUUAUAAGUUGAUUACGGUUGAAAUUGUCCAUGAUAGUUUCGAUGUUUGAGUUCAUGUUAUCGAAUUUGAACUCUUACGGUGGAUAUGCUUUGAGUUCAAAUAUGUAGCUAAGAAGUACAUUAAAUGAUAGUUUAGAAGUUUGAUUCAUCACUCAGUUGAGGGAACUGGGAACCCCAAGAUGCAUUGUACUUAAACUAGCAGCUUCAUCCUCCACCAGUUGAGUGAUAAAUGAAAAAAAAGGAGUGGGCAACAUUUAGCCACUAGGUAGGAAAAAGGGAUGUGUUGGUGUUUUUGUUCCUGCCCCACGAGUCGAAGUCCCCACCCUUUUCACAGCAACUAGAAGAUUGAUAAAGCUGCACUAUAUCGAAACGAUCAUAUGCCUUGGGACCGUUGUUGACCAGGAGAGUGCCCUUCAAGUCUAGAAGGGGUGGUGAGGGAGUAGUAAUUUGUGAACGUGUUGUGCAAGAGUUUGACAUUAUAGUUAAGAACAAAUAUGCCAUUUCUUCUGUUAUAUUCAAAAUAUUUGUUCUGAGUAUUCAUACUGGAAGACAUCUAAGAGCACGAAUAUAGCCCUUGAAUUGAAUCCUUACCCUUUAGUCUGUGUCAAAUAGUAAAUAUUACAAUUAGUAGUGAACACAAAUAAGUCUACUGAGGAGCUUAAAAUACAUCUUAUUCUUCUGUUAUAUUUGAAGAAUAAACAUGUUGUAAUUUCAAUAUUACAGUUUAGUAAUCCUUUUAUAUUUUUUAUUAUUCUUUUCAUGUUUCUAGAUAUGAUAUGUCAUUGUGAGUGAUAUUAUCCUCUUUGGUCUUAAUCUUUUGAAUUAUUAAUAGAUCAGCUGAGCUACUAGAUCCUGUAAUGUUUCAAAUACUCCAAGAAGUCUAUAAUUUGCAUGUGUUUAAACAUCAGUUUGUGGUGAAGGGACCAUUGGAAUUGACUUGUAAAAUCUUGUUGGUCUUACUUUGUGUUUGUGUUUGAAUGAAGAGGUCGGCAGCUUGACUUUUUGUUUAUAUUUGAUAUUGUAAAUGUGUUUCAGUUUGGCAGCUUGAUGUAAUCACAUUUCUUGUUUCUUGCAUUAAUUGCUAUAAUUUCAGUAGUAGUCUUAUAGUUUGGUAAGUUUAAAUUAGGAAUGGUGUAGAGUCAAUUUUUCUUGAAAGGAUUGUCUUGGAAAAUCUCUUUUUUCUUACAUUUGUGUUUGAAGUGCGAAGGUUGACAGCUUAAUGCAGUUUCAUUUUGUUUCUUGCAUCAACUGCUAUAAUUUUAGUUGUAGUUUUUCUCCUUUUCCCUGUUUGUUAUAGUGAGAACAAGAUUAGAGGGUCCAGGACUCAUAAUUGAUCAAAAGAUAUGGUAUAGUGUUACAACAGUCCGUGGUCAAUAUAUAUGGGCUCAUCCACAAUCACGUUCUUCUUUUAGUAAAUAUUGUUGUCACUGUACAUUUCUCCUCAUCUACGCCUUCAUAAUGGUUUCUCAUACUAUAGUGGUUCACUGUUUUUGUGUUCACUAUCUUUUUACUCUACAGAAACUCAUCAAAUGACUGACGGAACUAUUAGUGGAGGUAGAUUAUAUGCACUUUAACCGUGUUCUGCACGGAGAUGUAAAUGUAUAAACAGGCCCUGAUUUAUUAACGAGCUUUCAUUCUAUGACCCGUUUUAACAUGAAGUGCUUCGAUUUGUUAAUGAGUUUUCCUUGUAUGAAGAUGAUAAUGUGAAUUGAGCCUAGAUGAAGAAGUGGGGGUUCAUAUAGUCGACACUAACUUGUUUAGUGUAGUAGCUGUUGUUGUUUUUUUGUUUGAGUAAGCAUUAGUAAGCUUUGUCUUGUCCCCUCUUAUGUUGCACUGUCACAAAAUUUUAAUCCUGAAGAAACAACUCUAAUUGAAAAUAUCUUCUGUCGUAACUGCUUACCUAUCGUUCAUUUUUCAAUUCAUCUAGGUUACAGUAAAUUUAUCAAACAUAUAUCCCAAAGAUGAAGAUGCUCCUGCUGGUGGAGUUGAUUCAUGACCAAGUUAUCAUAUUUGCAUGAGUCCGGCGUCCUGCAGAAUUUGGCUUUAAGAUAUAAACUCAAUGAAAUCUAUGUACUCCUGUUUCAGCUUCCACUCCCCAUGAUUUACCCUAAAACACUAUCAAAUUGUUACUAAGAUUAUAAGAUGAAUCAGACAUAUGAUAAAUGAAGCUUGCUUAUUUGGGCGGUCCUAGAAGCACUGAAGUUCCAACUGUUGAGAAACAAGCUCAAGAGGAGGUUCAAAAGUAUAAUUUGGGGGAUCCUAAAACAGAUCACUAUCUUAAUCAAUCGAGUUGCUUUGAUCUAGUAGGUGUCAGUAAUGCUCAAAAUUAUCUUGCAACAAGGAGGGCCAUGGAUUUUGUUGGCAUUAGUGAGAAAGAGCGGCAAGUUUUAGAGUAGUGGAUUCCGAUCUUCAUCUUGGUUAUCUUCAGUUUGCAAUGGGUAAAAAAACUGAUUAUCAGUGCUAAAAGAUGACAAGUCUAAGUUCCAUUUUCGGACUCUUGCAGAGCUUUUGAUUUGUUAUAUGAGGCGUGAUCUUAAGGAUUUGGAGGAUGCACAUUAAAACAUGUAAUGGUCACACCUGAAGAAGUAAUAAAGAGAAGUCUUGUUCCUGAUGCUGCAACAGUUAGUGGAGAUGGGCUUGCUAAAAAUUAUAUUCUUGCUUGUUUGACUGUUUAUAGGUUGGUGGACAAAAUAAAUAACUCAAUUGGUCAAGAUUCGAGCUCAAAAUCUCUUAUUGGUGUUCUUGACAUUUGAUGUUUUGAAUGUUCUAAAACUAUUAAGUAUGAGUCAAAUCAUUGGAGGACACACAGGAUAUUGUUGAAUGUGGUGUUUCCACAUUUAACUCUUUUGACUUUUGUGUACCAGUUUUGAACAAUUCUGCAUUAAUUUCACAAAUGAGAAGCUGCACUAACACUUUAACCAGGGAUUUGUAGUUGAAAUUUUAGAUAUUUUCUGUCCAUAUCUUCUAAGCCAAAACUGAACUAGCACGUGUUCAAGAUUGAGCAAAGGAAUAAACUAGAGAAGAGAUCGAUUGGAGCUACAAAAAAAUUUAAUUAUAAUUUACGUUUGAAUGUGCGGGAAAAUGCUGCUGAUUGAAUUUGAUGAAUAGAGGACAGCAAUAAACUCGAUUUCUAGUGAACAAUAAAGAGUUUAUGUACGAUUAUCAUAAAUAUUUUUUGAAUACAUUUGGUUUUUUGGAA